RNAcentral lists this unclassified non-coding RNA (2602 nucleotides) under Hevea brasiliensis (rubber tree). The record is from RNAcentral. Lineage: Eukaryota; Viridiplantae; Streptophyta; Magnoliopsida; Malpighiales; Euphorbiaceae.
UUGAUUUUUUUUACUGGUUUUACGAAGACUGAAAAAGAACUGUGCAUGCUAAAGUAAAAAGGGGAGCUGCAAACACCACAUGCCCACCCAAUAUCAGCUAAGAGAGAACACUUGGUGGGUAAGAGAAGAAAGAUGUCCCUACAGGAAAUUGAAAGGCAUGAUUUGCAUGUCAAUAGAAGACACGUCGAAUUCUUUAUAUUAACAUGAGCAACAUGAAUAUCCCAUUCCAAAGUAAGUUUUUGCAUUACUGACUUGAAUGUACACUGCAAGCAGCUGCUGAUGCUGUUGAGUGUUUGACAAAACUAUAUUAACAGCUAUAUUUGCAUAAGCAGCUUCAGAGUUCAAGAGCUCGAAAAAGGCAAAAACCAUCAUGUUUGAUGCUUCAGUUCAGAUUUAAAAGAACUUGAGCGCAUUGGCGGCAUGUUAACUGUUAAAUAAACUCACAAUUCAUUGGAACAUCAACAGUGAUACUGUUGCUCAUCAGAAUGAAACAACUGAUUUAGAAUGUGUUGAAGUCUGUAACUUAGAAAGAGCAGUAUCACUUUCAUCAUGCUCAUUAAAAACUAAAGGUCUCCCAUUGAUAUCCUUCUUUUGUGAGAUAAAACUCUCUUCAGACAGUGCCUUCUCUAACCUCUCCUCAAAUGGUGUUGCAUGCCAACUCACUUUCUGAUCUUCCUUGUAUUUAUUAGUUGAAUUUGGGAUUCCAUUUCCAUCCCACCACUUCUGGGAGAUAUGAGAAGGCUCAUUCUCAUUCCAAUGAGCAGCAACCAUCCCAAUGAUAGGCCUGUCCGUAGGAGUUUUACCAAAACGGAAAUUUUUGCUAGAUGCAGUUCUAUCAUUUGGAUCAUCAUUAUCAUUAACAGAUUGUCGUGGCUUAAACCAAGAAGACAAGCUUGCUUCAACCUUCAAUUCUGGCACAGAGGAAGCUUCUUUAUCUCCAGCUGAUUUAGCUGUUGAAUUUUCCAGCUGCUCAGAAGAUUCUUUCAGCUGACUCGACAGUUGAAGAGAACUAGAGUCAUCUUCCUGCAGCCCCUUCCAUUGGGAGGCAUUCUCAACUGGAUUCAAGACUGGAUACACAUACUGAGACCUAAUCCUAGUCUUCCCAUUUGCCAAAAGUUCUACAUUUGUAGGGAAAACUGUUCCAGGUGUUUGCAUCUCAUCUGAAAGUUUUAAUGGAGUUGGUUUAGGAGAAGGCUUUGAUACACUGAAGUCCCCUGUGGAUUCAAAUUUCCUUAAAAUGUGGCACCCAUUUUCAGAUGAAGACCCUUUAGACGAAGGUGUAUCAAGAUUGCAUUCAAAGCGAACAGACUUGUUCUUGGGUAGAACAUCUGUUGCUGUUUUAAGACUUCCCACCUCACCACUUUCAACAGAGCUGAUGGAUAUCCUUCCAGUGUUCUGUGCAUCCGAUAUGCAGCUGAUAGGUGUGUGCUCUAAAGAGACAGAAACAUUUCCCCAUUCUUCACGAAGUUUAACGGGAGUAGGUAGCUGAUCAAUUUGUCUAUUCAACUGAAGUUUCUUGAUGGAUGUGUUGGGAAGCCAAGAGUGGAAAUCUGAAGACUCUAAAUCUUUACCAAGAGGAGCUGAACCCUUUAACUUCUCAGACGCUUUCCGAAUUUCAGAAGGUGUCUCAGGUAAAGUGCCACUGGCUUUUAGAAAUUUGGCCUCAUCCAUCAGUUCCUUGUUGAUUUGUGGAGAUCCGGAAUAAUGGUUUUUCCUGUCAUUGUAUGCAGAAUCUUCUCUCUCUUUUAGAUGGGAGAAAAAUAGUAAAAAUGUAAAAUACCAUUCAAAAGGGGGGAAAGGGGGGCAAUUGUCAGCAUCCACUGAGAAUGAAAAGUAAUUAUAUAAGAAAGACAUUGAACAUUAUUUACCUUCUGACAAAAAUAGAGCAGAUAAACGAUUUUUAGAUACCACAGCCUCCUGGAUGGCAUUCACAAAACAGAUAAAGCAGUAAAUACCAUUUUUGAGUAAUUUCUUAUUCUACAUGAUUUUCCACUCAACCAAACAGAUAUUGAUAAUUGCACAAAUGCACACAUAACCACAAAUCUUCCACACAAAAAAAAAAUUGAGAAGUGAAAGAGAAACCUAUCAUUUAUUCGAAAUCAGAAUCCCUCCGUUCUUAACUUCAAGAGUCAAUUAAAAAAUAUAAAAAGAGAAAUUUCCUUUCAUUUGAAAUUCAAACCGGGGAAAAUAAAAUUGCAAAUAAAUAAAGCACUAAAGUUCAAUUUUCAUAAAAUUCCGCCCCAGAAAAUCGCUCCAUUUUGAUGAAAUUUCCGGGCAUCCAAGCAGGGAAGGAGACAAAAACAAAACAAACAAAAUCAAGAAGCACAAGUACAGUUGAUUUAGAUCGAGAGGAAUGGCAGACGAGGUGAGGUCCCCGGCGAUCAUCUCUGACUCGAAAACAACCAAAGAAACAGCCCAUAGCUCUUGACACCGAUCUGUAAAUAAAUCUCAGCACCGAUUUGCAAAUCAAUCCAAUUUCUCGCUUCAACAAUGCGCAUAUCAUAUCAUAAAUCCGCCGUUUUUUUUCUUCUUUAAUUUUUUUUUUUUUUCUCUUUCUUGAGGGAUUAAUCAGAGAGGGAGAGAGAGUUGUUGGGUCGUUUUU